Molecule: transfer RNA, 90 nt
Filed under: Paracoccaceae bacterium
Lineage: Bacteria; Pseudomonadati; Pseudomonadota; Alphaproteobacteria; Rhodobacterales; Paracoccaceae
Also listed under: 2 other names
Description: tRNA-Ser
Rfam family: tRNA
About the family: Transfer RNA (tRNA) molecules are approximately 80 nucleotides in length. Their secondary structure includes four short double-helical elements and three loops (D, anti-codon, and T loops). Further hydrogen bonds mediate the characteristic L-shaped molecular structure. tRNAs have two regions of fundamental functional importance: the anti-codon, which is responsible for specific mRNA codon recognition, and the 3' end, to which the tRNAs corresponding amino acid is attached (by aminoacyl-tRNA synthetases). tRNAs cope with the degeneracy of the genetic code in two manners: having more than one tRNA (with a specific anti-codon) for a particular amino acid; and 'wobble' base-pairing, i.e. permitting non-standard base-pairing at the 3rd anti-codon position.
Source: RNAcentral
GGAGGGGUGCCGGAGUGGUCGAACGGGGCGGUCUCGAAAACCGUUGUAGGGGCAACCCUACCGAGGGUUCGAAUCCCUCUCCCUCCGCCA